Molecule: ribosomal RNA, 253 nt
Filed under: uncultured bacterium
Lineage: Bacteria
Description: partial 16S ribosomal RNA
Rfam family: Bacterial small subunit ribosomal RNA
Source: RNAcentral
UACGUAGGGUGCGAGCGUUAAUCGGAAUUACUGGGCGUAAAGCGUGCGCAGGCGGUUUUGUAAGCCAGAUGUGAAAGCCCCGGGCUUAACCUGGGAAUGGCAUUUGGGACUGCAAGGCUUGAGUGCGGCAGAGGAGACUGGAAUUCCUGGUGUAGCAGUGAAAUGCGUAGAUAUCAGGAAGAACACCCGUGGCGAAGGCGGCUCUCUGGAACGCAACUGACGCUGAGACGCGAGAGCGCGGGGAGCAAACAGG